CCUACGGGAGGCAGCAGUGAGGAAUAUUGGUCAAUGGACGAGAGCCUGAACCAGCCAAGUAGCGUGAAGGAUGACUGCCCUAUGGGUUGUAAACUUCUUUUAUAUGGGAAUAAAAUGUUCCACGUGUGGGAUUUUGUAUGUACCAUAUGAAUAAGGAUCGGCUAACUCCGUGCCAGCAGCCGCGGUAAUACGGAGGAUCCGAGCGUUAUCCGGAUUUAUUGGGUUUAAAGGGAGCGUAGGUGGAUUGUUAAGUCAGUUGUGAAAGUUUGCGGCUCAACCGUAAAAUUGCAGUUGAAACUGGCAGUCUUGAGUACAGUAGAGGUGGGCGGAAUUCGUGGUGUAGCGGUGAAAUGCUUAGAUAUCACGAAGAACUCCGAUUGCGAAGGCAGCUCACUGGACUGCAACUGACACUGAGGCUCGAAAGUGUGGGUAUCAAACAGGAUUAGAUACCCUGGUAGUC
RNAcentral lists this ribosomal RNA (460 nucleotides) under uncultured bacterium. RNAcentral describes it as "partial 16S ribosomal RNA". It matches the Rfam family "Bacterial small subunit ribosomal RNA", at positions 338 to 795 of the family's 1533-position model. The record is from RNAcentral.